UAAAUGUUUUCCUUUAUAAGAGUUGCCAUGGUCAUGGUGUCUCUUCACAACAAUAGAAACUCUAAGAUAGUAUUGUUGGCUAUUUUUAGCCAGGCUCAUUAUAAGAAUUGGGAGCAAAAGACCAGAAUGAAAGAACUUGAAGAGACUUGCAGUUUGACCAGAAAGGGGGCAUGUUAAAUAAUUCAGAAGAAAAAAAAAUACUGUGAUAAAAAGAUUAGUGCCACUAUGAAGAAGGACUUUGCCCUGGGCCAACAGCAAAGCUGCCUCAGGGACACUUUAGAGCCAGGAAGAUCCCUUCUGUAUCAGUCACCGUUCUGCUGCUCUGAUGGGCACCAUGACCAGAAGCAACCGAGGAAGAAAGAGUUGAUUCAGGUUUACAGUUCCAGCAUGCUGGAGGCCAUAAUAGCCAUGGAGAUGGCAUGGCAGCUGAAGGGUGAAGCUGGCUGACUGCGGUUUUCAUUCACAUACAAGAAGCAAAGAGAGCAAGCAGGAAAUGGGGCCAGGCAAGAAGACCUCAAAGGCCACACCUAGUGACGUACUUCCUCAGGCAAGACUGCAUCUCCUAAAGAUUCCAGAAUCUCCCCAAACUACAGCCUGGGGAUGGAGUGUUCAAAUACAUGAUCCUAUGGGGGACACUACUCAUUCAAACCAGAACACCACCCUUCUCAAGCUCCAGGGCAUAAAAUUAUACAUGUAAAAGACUUUUUCUUAAGAAGAGGGUACCUCAGGGCACCCUGCUUGCACAAUGCAACCUAGGAACUUGUUUCCCCAGGAUCCAUUUCUUCAUCACGACCAGCCCUCCAGGCACUCAGGGGUCUAUGCAGAGAGGAAACAUUACUGCUCCGCCUGGCAUCAGAUCUUGGCAUCACCCAAGCAGUGUUUAUUUUGCAGGGCAUGGAGGAUGUAAGAGCUGUGGGGUCCCAGAAACUUCCACUUAGAUGUCAGAGGAAAACCUGGGGAUGCAGGCAGUGUGUGGCAGGAUCAGAUUCUCAGGUGAUAUCAGAGGAAAGCCUGGGGAUGCAGGCAGUGUGUGGCAGGAUCAGAUUCUCAGGUGAUGGAGAAAGUUAAGAAAGUGAAGCUCAAGAUCUGGUGGAGACUUUAGGGUACCAGAUUGGUCAGCAAUGAGGAACAUGUCCCCAUUGUCCUGGUUGCUAUGGGAUUUAACACUUGUCCUGAUGGGUUGUGGUCUUACUUUGGUCCCAUCAACUCCUUUCUGUAUUCCCAUUUCUUCUUUUUAGAAUGGGAAUGUGGCAUUGUGGGUGGCUCAGUGGAUAAAGUGUUUGCCAUGCGAGUGUGAGGGCUGGAGUUUGUAACGCAGGAGGCAGAGACAUAGCACCCCUGAGGCAAGUGGGCUAGGCUAGCUGGACUAGUUAGUUAAUGAGCUCUGGGUUCAGCAAGGGGCUGUGCCUCCACAGACAGAAUGGAAAGUAUGGAGGAAGACACUUGACAUCAAGUUUGGAUCUCCACAAGCACAUGUAUACAUGUGCCUACACGUGGACAUGAAUUCAUAUACACAUGCAUGCACACCACACAAUAUGUACCUAAAAACAAUGCAAAAGAUGGGGCUGUUUAACCCUCUGCCAAAGCAUGUUAAAAGUAUGGGACCUGAGUUUUUAGUUUUUCAGGUCUCAAAGCUAAGAGUUUGCCUUGACUUUCAGAGACUUUGAAAUUCAACUUUUAUUGUUAUUAUUGCUCUUAUUAUCAUUACAUUUCUUUUCUGAGACAGGUUUUUUUUCAGGCUGUCCAGGAACUGGUUCUGUGGACCUGGCUGGGAUUAAAAGUGUGUGCCACUGUUGCCUGGAGUGAAAUUAGACUUUUGAGAGCAAUAUUGAAUCUAUUGGGACUUUAGGGAGGGAUUGAGUGCGUUUUGCAUUAUGAGGUGAGCAUCAGCCUUUGGAAGGUCAAGAGUGGAAUGUUAUGAGAUGGGUAUGGCCCUCAAAAGGAGUCUGAAAAUGAAUUAAAAUAAGUCUUGUCCCUUUUAAAAUUUUUGUCUUGGGUAUUUGUCAGUGAUGAGAGAAUCUAACAUAGCAACACAUAAAAUUCUUAUCACAGAGCCUGACAAAAAUAGCUACAGCUUGCCUGUUUCUCGUAUCCAUGAAAUCCAUGAGCAUUUUUUCGUUUGUCUAUUUGUUUGGUUUUUGGUUUGUUUUUCUUUCUUUUUUGUAGUGCUGAGGGUCUAAUUCGUUUGAAUGUCCUAGCGCAGCACCCAGCCACUGAGCUACACCCUGGCAUCUAGGUGAAAUCCACAUCUGGAAAGGGCACACAACGUUCGGAGCCUGGACGUCACUAAGCAGGGCUCCUGGCCGGUGAAAGGCCACUCACCACUUACUCUCACUUCCCGUUCCCAGGCCCUGCUCCUGGUUCCUCUGUUUCCAUCUGCCCUUGAGCAGUGCCUGGGCAGGUGAGGUUUUUAUCACCAGUGCCCUCAGCUCUACAAAUGUAGAGACCUGACAGACGAGAGCUGCUCAGACCUUCCAUUACAGUGUCCCCGGCCCUUCAACUACAUGUCACCCUUAUUUCUAACAGAAAAAUCGAAUCGAAUCGUACCAUGCUGGGGUCCUUGUGCUUUAAAAUGCCAACAGGAGGUGAGCACAGUAGGGACUCCUGGCGAACUCCAACUUCUUCCUCCUGCCCUGCUGUUUGCGAUGGGAGCUGGAAAGCAAUUCAUCACAGUAAUGAUCGCUGAUGCUGAUACUCCGGUGACUGAUGGCCACGUUACCUGGAGUAUGUCUUCCCAGCUCUCUCUUCACUGAAGAGUAAUUGUGGAGGGUUGGUGGAGGUGGGGGAGGCUAAAGGCUGAGGCAGGGAGAAUUGCAGCUCAGCUUCUUCCCAGCCCUCAGGCAGGAGAGGCCGAAGGGACAGAAACUAAUGGCCGAGAUGGCUCACAGAGAAAACAGCAAAUCCAACCGUGUAGAAGGGCAUUUCAUCUCUGCCUUCCUAAUGGCCUCCAACAUGCUCGCUCGAGAAAAAUUCAUCUCUGUAGAAUCUGGAAUUGUGGAUCAAUGCCAAGUGAGGACUGCAAAAGUAGCCGAGCAGGAAGAAGCUGUUCAUGUCCACUUCAUGGGCAGCCCAAAGGGAAGGACACAGAACUGCAGCAUGGUAGAUUAAGGAAGGCUGAAGGGAGACAUCACUCCACCCAACAAAAGUAGUUCAGGACCACCUGCCCAGGGUGGCGCCACCGACAGUGGGAUGGGUCCUCCCAUGUUAAUCAGCUAUCAAGAAAACGCCCAACAGACUUGCCUCUAGGUAAUAUGAUGGGGCAUUUUCUCAAUGCCCAGAUAACUCUGGCUUGUGUCAAGUUCUCUCUCUCUCUCUCUCUCUCUCUCUCUCUCUCUCUCUCUCUCUCUCUCACACACACACACACACACACACACACACACACACACACACAGACACCAGUGUAACCAGGACAGGGAAGGUAGCUGAGGAAGGGAGGUAGCUGAUGCCAUGUUGAAAAAGAGACAUUGCACAGAUGACAAUGGUACUCUGUCCCUCCAUUCAGUCAUGAUGCCUGGGGCAGCUGAUGAGGGAGGUAGAAAGAGUAAGCUUGACCUGAGAUCUUUGGUUUCCUAGAAGAAAAGGGUCUUUACCAUCACAUUUUGGGAGGAAUGGCUGAGGAGAUAGGGAGGGAGAAGGAGAGGUCCAAACACAGGACACUAAAGUGUCGCACGGUCACAGUCAUGUAUCUUAUGUCAAGUUCUCUGUCCCGUCUCCUGCCCCACACUCCUAAGCUUCUCAGACUGCCUGUUCCAAAUGCUUGGUUUAGGAAUGUGAGCAUCAACUGCUUGGCUGUCAUCCCCCAACCCAAAGCUGUUCAGGGUUGGUGUGAGACUUGAAUUCUGACCCCUUUGUCUGGCCCAGUUCUUUCUUCCUGCAGCCCGAUCGUCAGUGGAGGCUGGGAAAGCAGUGGGUGCAGGGACUACAAAAUGGCGGCUCCCUUCUGCCUCCUCCUGCUCCUUGAAUAUGGAAACCCCAGCAGGGGUGCCCUUCCUGUCUACACUACAGCAAGGUCAUGGUCCCUGUGGAAGCAAUCACAGUACUAGUGUAGUGAUACUGUUGUACCAUAUCUUCAGAAAUUCCUGUAUGUUCUGGCAAAGGAAUUCUAUGGACAAGGUACGAGAGGCCAGGGACCGGGUCUAGUUGGGUCCAGUGGUCUAGUUUCUAAGAGGACCAAGAGUUAUUCAGAAUUGCUAGGCCUGGGUAUCGCCUGGAUCUGCUCUGAGGGCUGGUGCCGUGGGCCCAUUUUCCAGGGAGGGGACCUGCUGGAGGGGAGGCAGCUCCGCUAAUUACUAAUAAAUGUCUUUUGUUCUUAA
Molecule: non-coding RNA, 4313 nt
Organism: Myodes glareolus (Bank vole)
Lineage: Eukaryota; Metazoa; Chordata; Mammalia; Rodentia; Cricetidae
Source: RefSeq, a predicted model, not a curated record